This 51-nucleotide transfer RNA is filed under the name Anaerocolumna jejuensis DSM 15929. It matches the Rfam family "tRNA", at positions 6 to 65 of the family's 71-position model. Rfam says of the family: Transfer RNA (tRNA) molecules are approximately 80 nucleotides in length. Their secondary structure includes four short double-helical elements and three loops (D, anti-codon, and T loops). Lineage: Bacteria; Bacillati; Bacillota; Clostridia; Lachnospirales; Lachnospiraceae. The record is from Rfam by way of RNAcentral.
GUUAGCUCAGUGGUAGAGCAUACCUCAAAUUCAUGGGUUCAACUCCCAUAC